RNAcentral lists this transfer RNA (72 nucleotides) under Thalictrum thalictroides. It matches the Rfam family "tRNA". From Rfam's summary of the family: Transfer RNA (tRNA) molecules are approximately 80 nucleotides in length. Their secondary structure includes four short double-helical elements and three loops (D, anti-codon, and T loops). Lineage: Eukaryota; Viridiplantae; Streptophyta; Magnoliopsida; Ranunculales; Ranunculaceae. The record is from Rfam by way of RNAcentral.
GGAUCCAUAAGCUCUGAAUGGUAAGAGCGCUCACUAAAUGAAAGGUUGAUGGUUCAAAUCCAUCUAGAUCCA